GUCGAACGGGGAUGCAUUAAGAAGGAGUGCUUGCAUUCCGGAAGGAUGUAUCUUAGUGGCGGACGGGUGAGUAACGCGUGGGUAACCUGCCCCAUACCGGGGGAUACCACCUGGAAACAGGUGCUAAUACCGCAUAAGCGCACGGGAGCGCAUGCUCCUGUGUGAAAAACUCCGGUGGUAUGGGAUGGACCCGCGUCUGAUUAGCCAGUUGGCAGGGUAACGGCCUACCAAAGCGACGAUCAGUAGCCGGCCUGAGAGGGUGGACGGCCACAUUGGGACUGAGACACGGCCCAAACUCCUACGGGAGGCAGCAGUGGGGAAUAUUGCACAAUGGGGGAAACCCUGAUGCAGCGACGCCGCGUGAGUGAAGAAGUAUUUCGGUAUGUAAAGCUCUAUCAGCAGGAACGAGACAAGACGGUACCUGACUAAGAAGCCCCGGCUAACUACGUGCCAGCAGCCGCGGUAAUACGUAAGGGGCAAGCGUUAUCCCGAAUCACUGGGUGUAAAGGG
RNAcentral lists this ribosomal RNA (510 nucleotides) under uncultured bacterium. Its description in RNAcentral is "bacterial SSU rRNA". It matches the Rfam family "Bacterial small subunit ribosomal RNA", at positions 61 to 567 of the family's 1533-position model. The record is from RNAcentral.